UGUGUACUCCCUCCAUUCCAAAAUACUUGACUUCCAUUUGUCCAAAAAUGGAUGUGCCUAUAUACUAAAACAUGUCUAGAUACAUAUAUAUUUUGACAAAUAGAAGGCAUGUAUUGUGCAACGGAGGGAGUAGAAU
Molecule: non-coding RNA, 136 nt
Organism: Triticum aestivum (bread wheat)
Lineage: Eukaryota; Viridiplantae; Streptophyta; Magnoliopsida; Poales; Poaceae
Source: Rfam